Molecule: ribosomal RNA, 778 nt
Filed under: uncultured bacterium
Lineage: Bacteria
Description: bacterial SSU rRNA
Rfam family: Bacterial small subunit ribosomal RNA
Source: RNAcentral
GAGUUUGAUCCUGGCUCAGAUUGAACGCUGGCGGCAGGCCUAACACAUGCAAGUCGAGCGGAAACGAGUUAACUGAACCUUCGGGGAACGUUAACGGCGUCGAGCGGCGGACGGGUGAGUAAUGCCUGGGAAAUUGCCCUGAUGUGGGGGAUAACCAUUGGAAACGAUGGCUAAUACCGCAUAAUAGCUUCGGCUCAAAGAGGGGGACCUUCGGGCCUCUCGCGUCAGGAUAUGCCCAGGUGGGAUUAGCUAGUUGGUGAGGUAAUGGCCCACCAAGGCGACGAUCCCUAGCUGGUCUGAGAGGAUGAUCAGCCACACUGGAACUGAGACACGGUCCAGACUCCUACGGGAGGCAGCAGUGGGGAAUAUUGCACAAUGGGCGCAAGCCUGAUGCAGCCAUGCCGCGUGUAUGAAGAAGGCCUUCGGGUUGUAAAGUACUUUCAGCAGUGAGGAAGGUGGGUAUGUUAAUAGCAUACUCAUUUGACGUUAGCUGCAGAAGAAGCACCGGCUAACUCCGUGCCAGCAGCCGCGGUAAUACGGAGGGUGCGAGCGUUAAUCGGAAUUACUGGGCGUAAAGCGCAUGCAGGUGGUUUGUUAAGUCAGAUGUGAAAGCCCGGGGCUCAACCUCGGAAUUGCAUUUGAAACUGGCGAACUAGAGUACUGUAGAGGGGGGUAGAAUUUCAGGUGUAGCGGUGAAAUGCGUAGAGAUCUGAAGGAAUACCGGUGGCGAAGGCGGCCCCCUGGACAGAUACUGACACUCAGAUGCGAAAGCGUGGGG